GCGCCGGUAGUGUAAUGGGGUAGAACAUUCCUGCCCGAUAAGCAGGAGGGGAGGGUUCGAGUCCUGCCCGACGCU
Heligmosomoides polygyrus is the source of this 75-nucleotide non-coding RNA. The record is from Rfam. Lineage: Eukaryota; Metazoa; Nematoda; Chromadorea; Rhabditida; Heligmosomidae.